GAUGAACGCUGGCGGCGUGCCUAAUACAUGCAAGUCGAACGAACAGACAAGGAGCUUUCUCCCCUGCCGUUAGCGGCUGGCGGGUGAGUAACACGUAUAUCACCUACCUAUAUUUCUGGGAUAAUUACGGAAAACCGGAUAUAAUACCGGAUAAUAUAUUGAACCGCAUGGUGCAAUAGUUAAUCACGGUUUGGCUGUCACUUAUAGACGGAUUGGCGCCGCAUUAGCUAGUUGGUAAGGUAACGGCUUACCAAGGCGACGAUGCGUAGCUGAACUGAGAGGAUGAUCAGCCACACUGGAACUGAGACACGGUCCAGGCUCCUACGGGAGGCAGCAGUGGGGAAUAUUGGGCAAUGGGCGGAAGCCUGAUAGAGCCACGCCGCGUGAGUGAAGAAGGCCUUCGGAUUGUAAAGCCCUGUUAUUAGGAAAGAAAAGCUGCGGAUUAAUACCUCGCCGUUUUGACGGUACCCAAUGAAUAAGCACCGGCUAACUACGUG
Molecule: ribosomal RNA, 497 nt
Filed under: uncultured bacterium
Lineage: Bacteria
Description: partial 16S ribosomal RNA
Rfam family: Bacterial small subunit ribosomal RNA
Source: RNAcentral